GCGGAUAUGGUGGAAUUGGCAGACACGCCAGAUUUAGGUUCUGGUUCGCAAGAGUGCAGGUUCAAGUCCUGUUAUCCGCA
This 80-nucleotide transfer RNA is filed under the name Lachnoclostridium sp. An196. It matches the Rfam family "tRNA". Rfam says of the family: Transfer RNA (tRNA) molecules are approximately 80 nucleotides in length. Their secondary structure includes four short double-helical elements and three loops (D, anti-codon, and T loops). The record is from Rfam by way of RNAcentral. RNAcentral also lists the same sequence under 1 other name. Lineage: Bacteria; Bacillati; Bacillota; Clostridia; Lachnospirales; Lachnospiraceae.